This 288-nucleotide long non-coding RNA is filed under the name Homo sapiens (human). Its description in RNAcentral is "non-protein coding lnc-CCDC127-3:1". Lineage: Eukaryota; Metazoa; Chordata; Mammalia; Primates; Hominidae. The record is from RNAcentral.
GUCGGCACCAGGACCCAGCAGCGCUCCCAGCCGGAACUCCUCCAGGGGCCAGCGCCCCAGCACCGCGCGCGUCACCUCCGCCUGCUCCAGCAGACCUAACUCAAGUGCUGUCCUGCUAACUACAUGGGACCUGCUGAAACCGAAAUGAACCGAGAUUCCAGUUCUGUGCAGAGAUGGCUGGACCUGCGUUGGGGACAUGCCUGGACCACCCAGCCCACUGGCCUUCACUGGUCUGAAAGGUUGUGAGGUACACUGGUCCUAGGAUGGCUCACCACGGCUCUGAGACAC